RNAcentral lists this ribosomal RNA (253 nucleotides) under uncultured bacterium. Its description in RNAcentral is "partial 16S ribosomal RNA". It matches the Rfam family "Bacterial small subunit ribosomal RNA", at positions 524 to 776 of the family's 1533-position model. The record is from RNAcentral.
UACGUAGGGUGCAAGCGUUGUCCGGAAUUAUUGGGCGUAAAGAGCUCGUAGGCGGUCUGUCGCGUCGGCUGUGAAAACCCGGGGCUCAACUCCGGGCCUGCAGCCGAUACGGGCAGACUAGAGUUCGGUAGGGGAGACUGGAAUUCCUGGUGUAGCGGUGAAAUGCGCAGAUAUCAGGAGGAACACCGGUGGCGAAGGCGGGUCUCUGGGCCGUAACUGACGCUGAGGAGCGAAAGCGUGGGGAGCGAACAGG